GGGGUUGUGGCUCAGUGGUAGAGCACUAGCCUAGCACAUGAGAGACACUGAGUUUGAUCCUCAGCACCACA
Molecule: transfer RNA, 71 nt
Filed under: Marmota monax (woodchuck)
Lineage: Eukaryota; Metazoa; Chordata; Mammalia; Rodentia; Sciuridae
Description: tRNA.Ala
Rfam family: tRNA
About the family: Transfer RNA (tRNA) molecules are approximately 80 nucleotides in length. Their secondary structure includes four short double-helical elements and three loops (D, anti-codon, and T loops).
Source: RNAcentral